This 417-nucleotide ribosomal RNA is filed under the name Arcopilus aureus. Its description in RNAcentral is "SSU rRNA". It matches the Rfam family "Eukaryotic small subunit ribosomal RNA", at positions 594 to 1016 of the family's 1831-position model. The record is from RNAcentral. Lineage: Eukaryota; Fungi; Ascomycota; Sordariomycetes; Sordariales; Chaetomiaceae.
AUAGCGUAUAUUAAAGUUGUUGAGGUUAAAAAGCUCGUAGUUGAACCUUGGGCCUAGCCGGCCGGUCCGCCUCACCGCGUGCACUGGCUCGGCUGGGUCUUUCCUUCUGGAGAACCUCAUGCCCUUCACUGGGUGUGAUGGGGAACCAGGACUUUUACUCUGAACAAAUUAGAUCGCUUAAAGAAGGCCUAUGCUCGAAUACAUUAGCAUGGAAUAAUAGAAUAGGACGUGUGGUUCUAUUUUGUUGGUUUCUAGGACCGCCGUAAUGAUUAAUAGGGACAGUCGGGGGCAUCAGUAUUCAAUUGUCAGAGGUGAAAUUCUUGGAUUUAUUGAAGACUAACUACUGCGAAAGCAUUUGCCAAGGAUGUUUUCAUUAAUCAGGAACGAAAGUUAGGGGAUCGAAGACGAUCAGAUACC